GGGCGAUUAGUUUAAUGGUUAGAACGGGUAACUCAUAAUUACACAAGUAUGGGUUCAAAUCCCAUAUCGCCCA
RNAcentral lists this transfer RNA (73 nucleotides) under Neisseriaceae bacterium. RNAcentral describes it as "tRNA-Ile". It matches the Rfam family "tRNA". Rfam says of the family: Transfer RNA (tRNA) molecules are approximately 80 nucleotides in length. The record is from RNAcentral. Lineage: Bacteria; Pseudomonadati; Pseudomonadota; Betaproteobacteria; Neisseriales; Neisseriaceae.